AACGAACGCUGGCGGCAGGCUUAACACAUGCAAGUCGAACGCCCCGCAAGGGGAGUGGCAGACGGGUGAGUAACGCGUGGGAAUCUACCGUACCCUACGGAACAACAGUUGGAAACGACUGCUAAUACCGUAUACGCCCUUAGGGGGAAAGAUUUAUCGGGGUAUGAUGAGCCCGCGUUGGAUUAGCUAGUUGGUGGGGUAAAGGCCUACCAAGGCGACGAUCCAUAGCUGGUCUGAGAGGAUGAUCAGCCACAUUGGGACUGAGACACGGCCCAAACUCCUACGGGAGGCAGCAGUGGGGAAUAUUGGACAAUGGGCGCAAGCCUGAUCCAGCCAUGCCGCGUGAGUGAUGAAGGUCUUAGGAUUGUAAAGCUCUUUCACCGAUGAAGAUAAUGACGGAAGUCGGAGAAGAAGCCCCGGCUAACUUCGUGCCAGCAGCCGCCGCGG
Molecule: ribosomal RNA, 447 nt
Filed under: uncultured bacterium
Lineage: Bacteria
Description: partial 16S ribosomal RNA
Rfam family: Bacterial small subunit ribosomal RNA
Source: RNAcentral